UGAAUGAGAUGGGUGCCCCAGUGACAGAAGAUACAGAGAAGGCAGAAUUACUGAAUGCCUUCUUUGUCUGUUGGGUCUGUCCUGAGGAGCCCCAUGCCCCUGAGGCCCCAGAGGAAGCCAGGAUAUAAGAGGAGUUUGCCUCACUUGAUGAAGACCGGGUUAUGGACCAGUUAAGCAAUCUGGACAUCCAUAAAUCCAUGGGCCCUGAUGGGAUGCAUCAGUGGGUGCUGAGGGAGCUGGUGGAAGUCAUUGCUAGGCCGCUUUCCAUCAUCUUUGAUUCUGAGUAAGGUCCACUUGUACCAAACAAAAUCUCAAGGACUGGAAGAUAUUCAGACUCUGCAAGCAAGGUGACAUUGGCUGAUUAAUUUAUUUGAUUUGUACCACAGUGGAAAAGUAGUGUAUCUCUUUCAUCUUGAUGAAAUAGGUGAAGAAAAUGCAUGUUUUAAGUGACUGUUUGGUACUCUCCUGUAAAAUGUGCACUGAGAUAAUUAAGAUACACAUGAAUAGAAUGCAAAUAUCAUACUAACUGUGGUGUCAGACAACCUAUCACCUAAGUCCUUAUCAGCACCUGAGGAAUGGAAAGCAGCAAAGACAAUCCACCCUUUGAGAAGGAAUCCAAGUUACUUUUCCUUCAUGAACCCACGCUGCCUGUGAGCAGUGAUGACAUUGUUUUUCAGCGUAAUUUUCUCCAUCAUUUUUGCAGGUGGGAUUGACAGGUCCAUAAUUACCAGGGUCUUCUCCAUUGCUCUUCUUGAAAAUAGAAGCAAUGUUUUCCAACUUUCACUCAAGUGGGACCUCUUCAGAUUUCUAAGACCACUGAAAAAUAAUGUUGGAUUCAAAUUUGUCUUACCAAGAAAUUUGUGUCAUUUCUAAUAGUUUCCUGUAAACCUUUUUCAGGUUCAGAAAGACAAGUAAUGUUAAAUCUAGGAAAAAAAAAAAAAAAAAAAAAAAAAAAGCAAUCAAAACUGAGAACAUAUCAGAAAACAUAGUACAUCACUGGUGUUCCCAUCUUGAAUACUGAAUGAAGUUCUGAUAAAAUCAACUUAAAGAGAAGUACAGAACUAGAAAACAUGUAGAAAAAGAAUGAGGAAGAUGAUCAGAAGUAAGGAACAGACUCCACCUGAAAGAAUAAACAGCCUAUCACUUUAGGUUUGUAAAUCUUGGAAGAGAUUCACUAGUUUGCAUGAUACAAAAAGUACUGUGUGCGCUUUUCAGUAUGCUUCCUUCUGCUCUUAACUCUUAAGUUAUUAUUACUAAGAGAUGGAAAGCACCACUGAAUAUUUCCACUGUUGCUCUCAACUAUAUCUACUGCACACUGAUGUUCACUGUAGAGUAGUUGUGUAAACUCUUCAAAAGAUUAUUCAUACUAAUAUUGCAAAAACAAGCACUUGCAAGUUAUGAUUGAGGAUGCCUUUACAAUAAAGUUUCUGCCCUCUUGUACAUGCAUACUCUAUACCUCUUUUUCCAAACACCUCCUAUCUCAUCAUUGCUUAGGGUGGCUGACACUCCCCAGGUGAGCUACUUAGUCAAUGUUAUGUUCUAUCACCAUAAUUCAGUGACGACACAGUGUAGUUCUUUUGCACUAUGCCAUCGAGCUCAAGCUGUGAACGCAGAAUUAUUCUUUUCCCAUGGGCAUUGUGACUUGAUUUUCCCCCAAGUUCUCUCUUUGACUUUUCAAUUAAGUCUGAAAAUUCUGUAAGGGAAUACAGUAGAUGAAGGGAGUUUUUACUU
This 1731-nucleotide long non-coding RNA is filed under the name Gallus gallus (chicken). RNAcentral's name for it is "lncRNA (ENSGALG00010016320.1)". The record is from RNAcentral. Lineage: Eukaryota; Metazoa; Chordata; Aves; Galliformes; Phasianidae.